UACGAAGGGGGCUAGCGUUGUUCGGAAUUACUGGGCGUAAAGCGCGCGCAGGCGGCUAUCCAAGUCAGUGGUGAAAGCCCGGAGCUCAACUCCGGAACUGCCAUUGAAACUGUUUAGCUUGAGGACGAGAGAGGUGAGUGGAAUUCCCAGUGUAGAGGUGAAAUUCGUAGAUAUUGGGAAGAACACCGGUGGCGAAGGCGGCUCACUGGCUCGUAUCUGACGCUCAGGCGCGACAGCGUGGGGAGCAAACAGG
RNAcentral lists this ribosomal RNA (253 nucleotides) under uncultured bacterium. RNAcentral's name for it is "partial 16S ribosomal RNA". It matches the Rfam family "Bacterial small subunit ribosomal RNA", at positions 524 to 776 of the family's 1533-position model. The record is from RNAcentral.